RNAcentral lists this ribosomal RNA (440 nucleotides) under uncultured bacterium. RNAcentral describes it as "partial 16S ribosomal RNA". It matches the Rfam family "Bacterial small subunit ribosomal RNA", at positions 338 to 795 of the family's 1533-position model. The record is from RNAcentral.
CCUACGGGGGGCAGCAGUGGGGAAUAUUGCACAAUGGGGGAAACCCUGAUGCAGCGACGCCGCGUGAGUGAAGAAGUAUUUCGGUACGUAAAGCUCUAUCAGCAGGGAAGAAAAUGACGGUACCUGACUAAGAAGCCCCGGCUAACUACGUGCCAGCAGCCGCGGUAAUACGUAGGGGGCAAGCAUUAUCCGGAUUUACUGGGUGUAAAGGGAGCGUAGACGGCAGCGCAAGUCUGGAGUGAAAUCCCAUGGCUUAACCAUGGAACUGCUUUGGAAACUGUGCAGCUAGAGUGCAGGAGAGGUAAGCGGAAUUCCUAGUGUAGCGGUGAAAUGCGUAGAUAUUAGGAGGAACACCAGUGGCGAAGGCGGCUUACUGGACUGUAACUGACGUUGAGGCUCGAAAGCGUGGGGAGCAAACAGGAUUAGAUACCCGAGUAGUC